Molecule: ribosomal RNA, 890 nt
Filed under: Staphylococcus hominis
Lineage: Bacteria; Bacillati; Bacillota; Bacilli; Caryophanales; Staphylococcaceae
Description: bacterial SSU rRNA
Rfam family: Bacterial small subunit ribosomal RNA
Source: RNAcentral
CCAGAGUUUUGAUCAUGGCUCAGGAUGAACGCUGGCGGCGUGCCUAAUACAUGCAAGUCGAGCGAACAGACGAGGAGCUUGCUCCUUUGACGUUAGCGGCGGACGGGUGAGUAACACGUGGGUAACCUACCUAUAAGACUGGGAUAACUUCGGGAAACCGGAGCUAAUACCGGAUAAUAUUUCGAACCGCAUGGUUCGAUAGUGAAAGAUGGCUCUGCUAUCACUUAUAGAUGGACCUGCGCCGUAUUAGCUAGUUGGUAAGGUAACGGCUUACCAAGGCAACGAUACGUAGCCGACCUGAGAGGGUGAUCGGCCACACUGGAACUGAGACACGGUCCAGACUCCUACGGGAGGCAGCAGUAGGGAAUCUUCCGCAAUGGGCGAAAGCCUGACGGAGCAACGCCGCGUGAGUGAUGAAGGUCUUCGGAUCGUAAAACUCUGUUAUUAGGGAAGAACAAACGUGUAAGUAACUGUGCACGUCUUGACGGUACCUAAUCAGAAAGCCACGGCUAACUACGUGCCAGCAGCCGCGGUAAUACGUAGGUGGCAAGCGUUAUCCGGAAUUAUUGGGCGUAAAGCGCGCGUAGGCGGUUUUUUAAGUCUGAUGUGAAAGCCCACGGCUCAACCGUGGAGGGUCAUUGGAAACUGGAAAACUUGAGUGCAGAAGAGGAAAGUGGAAUUCCAUGUGUAGCGGUGAAAUGCGCAGAGAUAUGGAGGAACACCAGUGGCGAAGGCGACUUUCUGGUCUGUAACUGACGCUGAUGUGCGAAAGCGUGGGGAUCAAACAGGAUUAGAUACCCUGGUAGUCCACGCCGUAAACGAUGAGUGCUAAGUGUUAGGGGGUUUCCGCCCCUUAGUGCUGCAGCUAACGCAAUAAAGCACUCCCGCCU